This 1070-nucleotide unclassified non-coding RNA is filed under the name Leishmania donovani. RNAcentral's name for it is "gene:LdHU3.23.2310(CDS-product:hypothetical_prote in_conserved)". The record is from RNAcentral. Lineage: Eukaryota; Euglenozoa; Kinetoplastea; Trypanosomatida; Trypanosomatidae.
CCUCCCUCCGCCACGGUGCUCCCUCAGAAUUUCGUGCACGCCCAGGCACAAAGGACAUGGCCGAUCUGCCGUUUCAGUGGGACGAUGGCAACUGCAUCUCCCCCUUUGUGGCCUCCAGCGAGGCGGACACGGAGGCGUUCGCGGCAUGGCUCACGGAGCGUUACCUCAGCCCGAUCGUGCAGCACAUCACCGCUUCUUCUCGCGGCUGCGCAGAUCAGCUCUGUGCCGUCUUUCAACCACGUGAAAUGCGGCUUACAGACCUCGGCUGUGGUGACGCCACGGCAGCGCUUUCCUUGGUGCAGCACCUCCGCAAAGGCUGGUGCAACCUGCAAGGCGCCACGGACGAUGCUCCGUCGCCGGACAGUGCGGCCUCUUUGCGUAUCAUUCUGACAGGCAUUGACCUGGACGAUACACUCCUGGAUACCGCAGCAGCAAACACGUCCGCCUUCGCUGCCGCAGCCGUCUCGCCGUUGUCGUCGCUGGUGUCGAUCGAGACGCAUCUUCUUUCUCAGGAUAUCCGCACUUUGGACUUGAAUGUAUGCUUCCCCCGCUGCGUGCAGGGCGGCGCCGCUUCUUUCUGCGCCCCGACCCGGCCUCCACACGUACUGUACAUGUACCUCCUGCCCGACGCACUCGCUCUGCUGCGGGAGAAGCUGGUAGCCAUCAUGGAGCGCGGUUGGGUGGUGGCGUCGAACCGCUGGCCCAUCCCGGGGCUCGAAGCCUUCCUGCGCGACCGUGCCGGGCACGUGCACAUUUACCUUAACGCGGCACUGUAGCUCUUAAAGAUCGAUACGUGCAUCUGUGCGCGUGCUUUUCCGUUCACGCCUGUGCCAUGCCGUCACCGUGACCUAUCGCCUACUCAACGACCCCUUCGCGCUGGCCGUCACACCUCGCAGUCCCUCGCGCACUCCUCUCUCCGGUUUUCUUUCCAUCGCUCUGGAUGGGCAGCAGUGACAGUCACCGUGAGCACUGCUGGGCGCGGGAGGCCGGUCCUGCGAAUGUACACCGGAGUACGAUAAGGACGAAGCGCCGUCUCGGCCCCGCUGCUUCUCGAGCUUUCACAGUCUCCU